Molecule: long non-coding RNA, 2331 nt
Organism: Hemicordylus capensis (graceful crag lizard)
Lineage: Eukaryota; Metazoa; Chordata; Lepidosauria; Squamata; Cordylidae
Exons: 6
Source: RefSeq, a predicted model, not a curated record
UCUCACUUAGAAUGUUGGGUAAGGCUAAUGACAGUAGAGGAGAGGGACAGUAAAAAUCAGUUGGUGGUUGGUGAAGGAAAAGAGAGAUUGAGAAAGGGAAUAAGGAGCUGAACGCUUGUUCUGGACUUUAUAUCUUGAACUGAUGGGACUUCUCUGGUAUUGAGAGGAGAUUGCGAAGAGUGGCAGGUGAUCUAGUCUGCCCACUGAAGCAUGCUGGAUCUUUGUUCAGGGAGAACUCUGAGGGAAUGAUCAACGAGAAAGGCGGGGAGAUAAAAAGAAUUCCCGCCAUUCUUACAAGAAUACAGAGAUAGGAAAGCACUGUUUUUACUAAUAAAACAACUCUUGCUUUGGGCUAUUUGGUGAGCUGAUAUGUCGGCAAUGCCUAUUUGAGCUGUGUGGGUGAGGGGAUUGAAACACCUCUUCUUCAUCAAUUUCAGACCUUCCCCCCCAGACAGGAUGAAAAAAGUGUCUGAGGUAACAGAGCAGAGUGAGGAGUGAAAGUGUGUUAACACCUUGAAAACCUAAGCUGAUGCAAGUGCCAGAAUUGCCCUUCUGACAGGUGUGGGGAGGUGAGAAGGCUUGACGCUUUGGAGAAGGGCUCCAGCAAGGAGGUGGCCGUUGCUGAACCAUGCCCCACCCCCGUGCGAUCUUCUCAUCGCAAUACACUUGACUCUGACACUGGCCCUAUGGGAUUUGGAAAAAAACAAAUUUGUGGACAUGUUCUCUUUGCUAUAUCGGGAAUCUGAGCCCCAGGAUGAUGGAAAAAGCUGAUGCCAAGUUCAAGGUCAAAGCUGUUGACCGUAAUUGGUCAAACUGGUUGGUAGAGUACAUGGUUUAUAUGGGAGUGGCUGUACAGAAACAGUUGUCACGGGCUGUCUCUAUGAUAAAAUACUUAGAUAUCAUUUACCAUGCAUUUUUGGAGUUCAGUGGGCCUGCUUGGGCCCGCUAUGAUGAAUCAUUUAGGUGGUGUUCAGCAUUGGAUCCUUCUCUCCCUUGGGAUUGCCCCCAACCAACGUUGUGGUUGAGGAUUACAACUUCUAAUCGCCCAGUUUGGGGGGAGUAUUCAGACAGUGGCCAUUUGGUGGUUAGGUCAUCAGCUACUCCUGUCUGCAGCCAGGCACAGGCCUCGGGUGGUUCUUUUCACCUAUUGUGUUGGGCAUUCGGGGUUAGUGGUGCGUGCUCAUGGCCCAUUGUCUGUAUCAUCACACAUGUUCACAUUAUUUUAGUAAUUGCCACAGGAUAAGUGUUGGCAUUCUGGUCGUAGGGAUUCAGCUGGGUUAAAGUGACACACACUUCAGAAGGGACCUAGUCCAAUAAGGUUGGUCCCGCUUUUGUCUUUAUUGCAAUGCUAUCAUGUUAUCCAGGAUAGUACUUAUUUGUGGGAAGGCUUCUGAGAUGGUUUCAGGAUACCUUACCAGGGCCUGAGGGUGGCCUUCUGGGCUGAUAACUUGAAAUCCAUAAGGGAUAUGGAGCACAUUGUUUGGGCUAAAAUUAAGAAGGAAGUUUGGGAAGAAAGCAUCUUGGGCCCCUUUUCUGCGCCACCUUUACCUACUUUAUGGGUUUCAUCCUUAGGAGUUGUUCCUAAGAGAGCAGUGGGGAGAUAUCGUUUAAUUCAUCACUUGUCAUUCCAGGCAAGCAGCUCCGUGAAUGAUGCUAUUCCUCCACAAUUGGGCUCAGUGCAGUAUGCCUCAUUUGAAUCAGCUGUGAAUAUGGUUCGGUCUCAGGGAAGGGGGGCUUUGCUAGCAAAAUGUGAUAUUAAAUCGGCUUUCUGGCUUUUGCCAAUCCACCCUGUUGACUUUGAUUUGUUGUGAUUUUUGUUCAAUGGGGCCUUUUAUAUAGAUCGGGCUCUGCCUAUGGGAGGCUCCAUUUCCUGUUCUGCAGUUGAGAGUUUCAGUUCCUUUUUACACUGGGCAGUGCAUGAGCACACAGGUCUGACAUUCGUGGUGCAUUUUCUAGACUCUUUUCUUUUUGCCAGUCCGGGUUUCUCCUUGAUUUGUGAGCAUCUCAUGACUUCUUUCCAGGAUCUGACUCAGGAGCUGGGGGUUCCCUUGGUGGAGGAGAAAUCUGAACAUCCAGCGACUUGUCGACCUUUUGGGGCACUGAAAUUGAUACUGUCCAUCAAUAUUGUCACUUAGUGGCUGAUAAGAUCUUGAACUUGGGCCAGCUCCUGGGUAGGUUACUGGAAGCCAAAAAGAUUACAUUGCGGGAGAAGCAGAGUGUUAUCGGUCAUCUGAACUUCACAUGCUGGGUCAUAGCGCCCUGUAGGCCUUUUCUAAGGCAUCUAUGUGAUGCUACUAAGGGGGUUUCAUGCUCCUCAUCAUCAUAUUUGUG